UCUUCCACCAAUAUUGCCCACUAAACCAUGUCCCAAACCAUUAGCCCUGAUCCAGGGAUGUGCUAUGCCUCUACCUGAGUUGAGCAUGGGAUGAGAAGAUAAAGGUGAGAUCCUCUGCACAUACCUAGCAGCAAGGAGGCCUGAGGUUAAUGCAGUGCAGGAAAGAGUUCACAUAGGCACUGAUCAACGUGGUAUAAAAUACUUGCAGAUGUUGCCUCCCCCAGAUUACUUUACUCUGAGAACUCACACUAGAACAUUAUAUAUUUUUUUUUACUAAUUAAGGGGGAGCUGCCCCCAACAUCUCCAAUAGUGCGAAGACCCAGAGGUACUGCUGAUGUUGGGUCACCCCUUCUCCAUGUCUCCCAGCCAUCCUCGCUGCUGGUGGAUAGGAGCUGAUGGAGUGCAAUGAAGCCACCAGCACCCUCCACUGCUGCAGGGGACCUGCUGGGGAGAGUGACGUGUCUGGACUUAUCCUUGUCCCAAGCAAUAGAGCCAUCCCAUGUGGAGAACAACCUCAGGGGCAUGAUCCUGCACCCAUGGAGAAUGCAAGGACAAAGAGGUUUUGGAUCUCUUAGCACCACCCUAGGAAGUGCUGAGAGCUGCUUUUGUGGCCUGCAGUGCACAAGGAGUUGUGGAAGAAGAUCUGCAUUCCUCCUGGACCCAGCAUUUAUUGGGUGAGCAAAGUGG
This is a non-coding RNA of Meleagris gallopavo (turkey), 687 nucleotides long. Lineage: Eukaryota; Metazoa; Chordata; Aves; Galliformes; Phasianidae. The record is from RefSeq and is a predicted model, not a curated record.